This 330-nucleotide long non-coding RNA is filed under the name Mustela putorius furo (domestic ferret). RNAcentral describes it as "lncRNA (ENSMPUG00000023879.1)". The record is from RNAcentral. Lineage: Eukaryota; Metazoa; Chordata; Mammalia; Carnivora; Mustelidae.
UCUCCUCCCUGGAGUGACCGCAGUUAAGGAACGGCUGAGGGGAGGAGGUGAGAAGGGGCCACCAGGCCUCCUGAGACCCCCUGCCCUUGAACCACAACCACGGCACCACCGGCUCCCUCUGCAAGCUGGAACCAUGGCUCUGUCUGCCUCACCCCAACGGCUGAGUCUGGCUGGCAAGACAGGAGGCAAGAAGACACUGAUGUAGAAGGAGAGUCAGGAAGUCACAGAAAUCAGCCCGUGUCCCCUUCACCUAUGCCCGAUGGGCCCAUCGCAGCACAGAGCACCCGGGAGACCAGGACGCUGACUGGAGAACAGCCCAGGGACCUCGUC